This 73-nucleotide non-coding RNA is filed under the name unclassified sequences. RNAcentral describes it as "RAGATH-18 RNA". It matches the Rfam family "RAGATH-18 RNA". Rfam says of the family: Actinobacteria, Firmicutes, Fusobacteria, Thermotogae (1 example). The record is from Rfam by way of RNAcentral.
GCUAUGGAGUAUGAUACCAAACGCUAGUAGCUAGUGAGUAAUCACAGCGAGAGCGCAUACGAUGAAAUAGCAA